Molecule: unclassified non-coding RNA, 112 nt
Filed under: Chryseobacterium formosense
Lineage: Bacteria; Pseudomonadati; Bacteroidota; Flavobacteriia; Flavobacteriales; Weeksellaceae
Description: Flavo-1 RNA
Source: RNAcentral
CCAUAGCCCCGAUUGCAGCAAUUGUCUGAGCUCAUUUUAUUUGUAUUUGCGGCGCGGCUUCGCCGCGCCGCAAAUACAAAUAAAAUAGCGAGUGCGGAAAGCGGGAAAUAGC